CGGGAGAAGGCACGCCGGCGUAGGGUGAUGAGACUUGCUCUCUAAGCCCGAACCGGUCGAAGAUACCAGGUGGCUGCAACUGUUUAUUAAAAACACAGCACUCUGCUAACGCGCAAGCGGACGUAUAGGGUGUGACGCCUGCCCGGUGCCGGAAGGUUAAAUGAUGGUGUUAGCCGCAAGGCGAAGCUCUUGAUUGAAGCCCCGGUAAACGGCGGCCGUAACUAUAACGGUCCUAAGGUAGCGAAAUUCCUUGUCGGGUAAGUUCCGACCUGCACGAAUGGCGUAAUGAUGGCCACGCUGUCUCCACCCGAGACUCAGUGAAAUUGAAAUCGCCGUGAAGAUGCGGUGUACCCGCGGCUAGACGGAAAGACCCCGUGAACCUUUACUAUAGCUUCACACUGGACGCUGAUGUUGCCUGUGUAGGAUAGCUGGGAGGCUUUGAACUUUGGACGCCAGUUCGAAGGGAGCCAACCUUGAAAUACCAGCCUGGCAUCAUUGGCGUUCUCACUCAGGUCCGUUAUCCGGAUCGAGGACAGUGUGUGGUGGGUAGUUUGACUGGGGCGGUCUCCUCCUAAAGAGUAACGGAGGAGCACGAAGGUACCCUCAGCACGGUCGGACAUCGUGCAGUGAGUGCAAGAGCAUAAGGGUGCUUGACUGCGAGACAGACACGUCGAGCAGGUGCGAAAGCAGGUUCUAGUGAUCCGGUGGUUCUGUAUGGAAGGGCCAUCGCUCAACGGAUAAAAGGUACUCCGGGGAUAACAGGCUGAUACCGCCCAAGAGUUCACAUCGACGGCGGUGUUUGGCACCUCGAUGUCGGCUCAUCACAUCCUGGGGCUGAAGUCGGUCCCAAGGGUAUGGCUGUUCGCCAUUUAAAGUGGUACGCGAGCUGGGUUUAGAACGUCGUGAGACAGUUCGGUCCCUAUCUGCCGUGGGCGUUGGAUGUUUGAGAAGGGCUGCUCCUAGUACGAGAGGACCGGAGUGGACGACCCUCUGGUGUUCCGGUUGUCACGCCAGUGGCAUUGCCGGGUAGCUAUGGUCGGACGGGAUAACCGCUGAAAGCAUCUAAGCGGGAAGCCCCCUUCAAGAUGAGACAUCCCUGAGGCCUAGAGCCUCCUGAAGGGCCCAGCGAGACCAGCUGGUUGAUAGGCACGGUGUGGAAGCGCUGCAAGGUGUUGAGCUAACGUGUACUAAUGGCCCGUGAGGCUUGACCCUAUAACACCCAAGGGGU
This 1228-nucleotide ribosomal RNA is filed under the name Halomonas sp. ALS9. RNAcentral's name for it is "bacterial LSU rRNA". It matches the Rfam family "Bacterial large subunit ribosomal RNA", at positions 1737 to 2925 of the family's 2925-position model. Lineage: Bacteria; Pseudomonadati; Pseudomonadota; Gammaproteobacteria; Oceanospirillales; Halomonadaceae. The record is from RNAcentral.